This is an unclassified non-coding RNA of Erinaceus europaeus (western European hedgehog), 311 nucleotides long. Its record names the gene 7SK. It matches the Rfam family "7SK RNA". Rfam says of the family: 7SK was discovered as an abundant small nuclear RNA in the mid-70s but a possible function has only recently been suggested. Two independent studies have found that 7SK RNA binds the CDK9/cyclin T complex (known as elongation factor P-TEFb). Lineage: Eukaryota; Metazoa; Chordata; Mammalia; Eulipotyphla; Erinaceidae. The record is from Ensembl.
GGAUGUGAGGGCGAUCUGACUGCAACAUCUGUCACCCCAUUGAUCUCCAGGGUUGAUUCUGCUGAUCUGGCUGGCUAGGCUGGUGCCCCCUUCCUCCCUCACAGCUCCAUGUACUCCCCUCCAGAAGCUGCGCCCUUGGUCAAAGAGGACAGCCUUCCCAAAUAGAGAUGGACUGGUCUUCAGUGGAGGGUAUAUGAAUAGCUGUACUCCCUUGCUAGAACCUCCAAACAAGCUCUCAAGAAAACAGAUUCCAGGGACCAAAUCAAAGCAGGUCACCCAAGUCAAGAAUGUCACCAGAGUGAACAUUGAUU